Molecule: long non-coding RNA, 138 nt
Organism: Corvus hawaiiensis (hawaiian crow)
Lineage: Eukaryota; Metazoa; Chordata; Aves; Passeriformes; Corvidae
Exons: 3
Source: RefSeq, a predicted model, not a curated record
AGGCCCUGGCACAGGGUGCCCAGAGAAGCUGUGGCUGCCCCUGGAUCCCUGGCAGUGUCCAAGGCCAGGUCGGACAGGUCUUGGAGCAGUCUGGGACAGUGGAAUGUGUCCCUGCCCAUGGCAGGGGGUGGAAGGGGG